AUACGGAGGGUGCAAGCGUUGUCCGGAUUUACUGGGUUUAAAGGGUACGUAGGCGGCGAAUUAAGUCAGUGGUGAAAUGUGUCGGCUCAACCGGCAAAGUGCCAUUGAUACUGGUUUGCUAGAGUGUUGUAUAGGUGGGCGGAAUUGAUGGUGUAGCGGUGAAAUGCAUAGAUACCAUCAAGAACACCGAUUGCGAAGGCAGCUCACUGGGCAACAACUGACGCUGAGGUACGAAAGCGUGGGGAGCGAACAGGAUUAGAAACCCCUGUAGUCC
This 274-nucleotide ribosomal RNA is filed under the name uncultured bacterium. Its description in RNAcentral is "partial 16S ribosomal RNA". It matches the Rfam family "Bacterial small subunit ribosomal RNA", at positions 523 to 796 of the family's 1533-position model. The record is from RNAcentral.